RNAcentral lists this ribosomal RNA (480 nucleotides) under uncultured bacterium. RNAcentral's name for it is "partial 16S ribosomal RNA". It matches the Rfam family "Bacterial small subunit ribosomal RNA", at positions 30 to 507 of the family's 1533-position model. The record is from RNAcentral.
UGACCGCUGGCGGCGUGCCUAAUACAUGCAAGUCGAACGCUUCACUUCGGUGAAGAGUGGCGAACGGGUGAGUAAUACAUAAGUAACCUGGCAUCUACAGGGGGAUAACUGAUGGAAACGUCAGCUAAGACCGCAUAGGUGUAGAGAUCGCAUGAACUCUAUAUGAAAAGUGCUACGGGACUGGUAGAUGAUGGACUUAUGGCGCAUUAGCUUGUUGGUAGGGUAACGGCCUACCAAGGCGACGAUGCGUAGCCGACCUGAGAGGGUGACCGGCCACACUGGGACUGAGACACGGCCCAGACUCCUACGGGAGGCAGCAGUAGGGAAUUUUCGGCAAUGGGGGAAACCCUGACCGAGCAACGCCGCGUGAAGGAAGAAGUAAUUCGUUAUGUAAACUUCUGUCAUAGAGGAAGAACGGUGGAUAUAGGGAAUGAUAUCCAAGUGACGGUACUCUAUAAGAAAGCCACGGCUAACUACGUG